This 695-nucleotide ribosomal RNA is filed under the name Clavibacter sp. XYL_325. Its description in RNAcentral is "bacterial SSU rRNA". It matches the Rfam family "Bacterial small subunit ribosomal RNA", at positions 576 to 1271 of the family's 1533-position model. The record is from RNAcentral. Lineage: Bacteria; Bacillati; Actinomycetota; Actinomycetes; Micrococcales; Microbacteriaceae.
CGGUUUGUCGCGUCUGCUGUGAAAUCCCGAGGCUCAACCUCGGGUCUGCAGUGGGUACGGGCAGACUAGAGUGCGGUAGGGGAGAUUGGAAUUCCUGGUGUAGCGGUGGAAUGCGCAGAUAUCAGGAGGAACACCGAUGGCGAAGGCAGAUCUCUGGGCCGUAACUGACGCUGAGGAGCGAAAGCAUGGGGAGCGAACAGGAUUAGAUACCCUGGUAGUCCAUGCCGUAAACGUUGGGAACUAGAUGUGGGGACCAUUCCACGGUCUCCGUGUCGCAGCUAACGCAUUAAGUUCCCCGCCUGGGGAGUACGGCCGCAAGGCUAAAACUCAAAGGAAUUGACGGGGGCCCGCACAAGCGGCGGAGCAUGCGGAUUAAUUCGAUGCAACGCGAAGAACCUUACCAAGGCUUGACAUAUACCGGAAACAUGCAGAGAUGUGUGCCCCGCAAGGUCGGUAUACAGGUGGUGCAUGGUUGUCGUCAGCUCGUGUCGUGAGAUGUUGGGUUAAGUCCCGCAACGAGCGCAACCCUCGUUCUAUGUUGCCAGCACGUAAUGGUGGGAACUCAUAGGAGACUGCCGGGGUCAACUCGGAGGAAGGUGGGGAUGACGUCAAAUCAUCAUGCCCCUUAUGUCUUGGGCUUCACGCAUGCUACAAUGGCCGGUACAAAGGGCUGCGAUACCGUAAGGUGGAGCGAA